RNAcentral lists this ribosomal RNA (438 nucleotides) under uncultured bacterium. RNAcentral describes it as "bacterial SSU rRNA". It matches the Rfam family "Bacterial small subunit ribosomal RNA", at positions 70 to 507 of the family's 1533-position model. The record is from RNAcentral.
UAGAAGGAGCUUGCUCCUUUGAGACCGGGCGCACGGGUUGCGUAACGCGUAUGCAAUCUACCUUUGCAGAGGGAUAGCCCAGAGAAAUUUGGAUUAAUACCUCAUAGUAUGUGAGAUGGCAUCAUUUUCACAUUAAAGUCACAACGGCAAAAGAUGAGCAUGCGUCCCAUUAGCUAGUUGGUAAGGUAACGGCUUACCAAGGCUACGAUGGGUAGGGGUCCUGAGAGGGAGAUCCCCCACACUGGUACUGAGACACGGACCAGACUCCUACGGGAGGCAGCAGUGAGGAAUAUUGGACAAUGGGCGCAAGCCUGAUCCAGCCAUGCCGCGUGCAGGAUGACGGUCCUAUGGAUUGUAAACUGCUUUUGUACAGGAAGAAACACUACUUCGUGAAGUAGCUUGACGGUACUGUAAGAAUAAGGAUCGGCUAACUCCGUG